GAUGAACGCUGGCGGCGUGCCUAAUACAUGCAAGUCGAGCGAACAGAUAAGGAGCUUGCUCCUUUGACGUUAGCGGCGGACGGGUGAGUAACACGUGGGUAACCUACCUAUAAGACUGGAAUAACUCCGGGAAACCGGGGCUAAUGCCGGAUAACAUUUAGAACCGCAUGGUUCUAAAGUGAAAGAUGGUUUUGCUAUCACUUAUAGAUGGACCCGCGCCGUAUUAGCUAGUUGGUAAGGUAACGGCUUACCAAGGCAACGAUACGUAGACGACCUGAGAGGGUGAUCGGCCACACUGGAACUGAGACACGGUCCAGAAUCCUACGGGAGGCAGCAGUAGGGAAUCUGCCGCAAUGGGAGAAAGCCUGACGGAGCAACGACGAGUGAGUGAUGAAGGUCUUCGGAUCGUAAAACUCUGUUAUUAGGGAAGAACAAAUGUGUAAGUAACUGUGCACGUCUUGACGGUAACUAAUCAGAAAGCCACGGCUAACUACGUG
This 497-nucleotide ribosomal RNA is filed under the name uncultured bacterium. RNAcentral's name for it is "partial 16S ribosomal RNA". It matches the Rfam family "Bacterial small subunit ribosomal RNA", at positions 28 to 507 of the family's 1533-position model. The record is from RNAcentral.